This 448-nucleotide ribosomal RNA is filed under the name uncultured bacterium. Its description in RNAcentral is "partial 16S ribosomal RNA". It matches the Rfam family "Bacterial small subunit ribosomal RNA", at positions 329 to 794 of the family's 1533-position model. The record is from RNAcentral.
GACCAGACUCCUACGGGAGGCAGCAGUGGGGAAUAUUGCACAAUGGGGGGAACCCUGAUGCAGCGACGCCGCGUGAGAGAAGAAGGUUUUCGGAUUGUAAACCUCUGUCCUCUGUGACGAUAAUGACGGUAGCAGAGGAGGAAGCCACGGCUAACUACGUGCCAGCAGCCGCGGUAAUACGUAGGUGGCGAGCGUUGUCCGGAUUUACUGGGUGUAAAGGGUGCGCAGGCGGCUCUGCAAGUCAGGCGUGAAAGCUAGGGGCUCAACCCCUAAACUGCGCUUGAAACUGUGGAGCUUGAGUGAAGUAGAGGCAGGCGGAAUUCCCGGUGUAGCGGUGAAAUGCGUAGAGAUCGGGAGGAACACCAGUGGCGAAGGCGGCCUGCUGGGCUUUAACUGACGCUCAGGCACGAAAGCAUGGGUAGCAAACAGGAUUAGAUACCCGUGUAGA